AAUGGUGGAAACACUGAUCCAGCCAUGCCGCGUGAAGGAUGACGGCCCUAUGGGUUGUAAACUUCUUUUGUACGGGAAAAAACCUCUUUACGUGUAAAGAGCUGAUUGUACUGUAAGAAUAAGGAUCGGCUAACUCCGUGCCAGCAGCUGCGGUAAUACGGAGGAUCCAAGCGUUAUCCGGAUUCAUUGGGUUUAAAGGGUGCGUAGGCGGAAUGAUAAGUCAGUGGUGAAAGCCUGCAGCUUAACUGCAGAACUGCCAUUGAUACUGUCAAUCUUGAGUACAUUUGAUGUGGGCGGAAUGUGUCAUGUAGCGGUGAAAUGCUUAGAUAUGACACAGAACACCGAUUGCGAAGGCAGCUCACAAAACUGUAACUGACGCUGAGGCACGAAAGCGUGGGUAUCAAA
Molecule: ribosomal RNA, 405 nt
Filed under: uncultured bacterium
Lineage: Bacteria
Description: bacterial SSU rRNA
Rfam family: Bacterial small subunit ribosomal RNA
Source: RNAcentral